This 319-nucleotide RNase P RNA is filed under the name Variovorax terrae. RNAcentral's name for it is "Bacterial RNase P class A". It matches the Rfam family "Bacterial RNase P class A". From Rfam's summary of the family: Ribonuclease P (RNase P) is a ubiquitous endoribonuclease, found in archaea, bacteria and eukarya as well as chloroplasts and mitochondria. Its best characterised activity is the generation of mature 5'-ends of tRNAs by cleaving the 5'-leader elements of precursor-tRNAs. Cellular RNase Ps are ribonucleoproteins. The record is from Rfam by way of RNAcentral. Lineage: Bacteria; Pseudomonadati; Pseudomonadota; Betaproteobacteria; Burkholderiales; Comamonadaceae.
GAAGCCCGCCAGACCGCCGCUGGUGCAAUCGUGGAAACACGGCACUGGAGGAACGUCCGGACUGCACAGGGCAGCGUAGCAGGUAACACCUGUCCACCGUGAGGUGAGGAUCAGAGCAACAGAGACGAGCCGCUUCAGUGCGGGUGAAACGGGCAAUCUCUACGCGCAGCAAUACCAAGUAGGCCAGCGUUGAUGUGGCUCCGCAGAGCUGGCGGGUAGGUAGCAUCGAGCCGCCGGGGCGACCCGCGGCCCAGAGUAAUGGCGGUCACGUCGGGGGCAACCCCGACGCACAGAAUCCGGCUUACGGCGGACUUCACAC